GGGAGCGUAGCUCAGUGGUAGAGCUUUUUCUGGCCAGAGUUAACAACGUGUCUGUUGGUCGUGGGUUCGAAUCCCGCCCUCCCGU
RNAcentral lists this transfer RNA (85 nucleotides) under Caudoviricetes sp. RNAcentral's name for it is "tRNA-OTHER". It matches the Rfam family "tRNA". From Rfam's summary of the family: Transfer RNA (tRNA) molecules are approximately 80 nucleotides in length. Their secondary structure includes four short double-helical elements and three loops (D, anti-codon, and T loops). The record is from RNAcentral. Lineage: Duplodnaviria; Heunggongvirae; Uroviricota; Caudoviricetes.